Molecule: non-coding RNA, 21 nt
Filed under: Caenorhabditis elegans
Lineage: Eukaryota; Metazoa; Nematoda; Chromadorea; Rhabditida; Rhabditidae
Source: RNAcentral
UCAGAAACAUUUUCUCAAAGU